This 484-nucleotide ribosomal RNA is filed under the name uncultured bacterium. Its description in RNAcentral is "partial 16S ribosomal RNA". It matches the Rfam family "Bacterial small subunit ribosomal RNA", at positions 29 to 523 of the family's 1533-position model. The record is from RNAcentral.
AGUGAACGCUGGCGGCGUGCUUAACACAUGCAAGUCGAACGAGAACGGGUUAUAGCUUGCUAUAAUUGUCAGCUAAGUGGCGCACGGGUGAGUGAUGUAUAGGUAAUAUGCCUCUUACUAAGGGAUAACAAAUGGAAACGUUUGCUAAUACCUUAUACUCCUUAUUAACAGAAGUUAAUAAGGGAAAGAUUUAUUGGUAAGAGAUUAGCCUGUAUUGUAUCAGUUAGUUGGUGGGGUAAUGGCUUACCAAGACUAUGACACAUAACUGGUUUGAAAGGAUGAUCAGUCACACUGGAACUGAGACACGGUCCAGACUCCUACGGGAGGCAGCAGUGGGGAAUAUUGCACAAUGGACGAAAGUCUGAUGCAGCAACGCCGCGUGGAGGAUGACACAUUUCGGUGCGUAAACUCCUUUUAUAUGAGAAGAUAAUGACGGUAUUAUAUGAAUAAGCACCGGCUAACUCCGUGCCAGCAGCCGCCGUAA